UAUAAAUACAUGCACACAUAUU
RNAcentral lists this non-coding RNA (22 nucleotides) under Mus musculus (house mouse). Its record names the gene mmu-miR-466l-3p. The record is from miRBase by way of RNAcentral. Lineage: Eukaryota; Metazoa; Chordata; Mammalia; Rodentia; Muridae.